This 30-nucleotide non-coding RNA is filed under the name Rattus norvegicus (Norway rat). The record is from RNAcentral. Lineage: Eukaryota; Metazoa; Chordata; Mammalia; Rodentia; Muridae.
UAUUCAAGAAAUAGUGCGGGGCAUGGCUGC